GGCCGCGUAACUCAGUUGGAAGAGCAUUGGGCUAGUAUUCCAAAGGUCGUAGGUUCGAAUCCCACCGUGGCCG
Molecule: transfer RNA, 73 nt
Filed under: Paramuricea clavata
Lineage: Eukaryota; Metazoa; Cnidaria; Anthozoa; Malacalcyonacea; Plexauridae
Rfam family: tRNA
About the family: Transfer RNA (tRNA) molecules are approximately 80 nucleotides in length. Their secondary structure includes four short double-helical elements and three loops (D, anti-codon, and T loops). Further hydrogen bonds mediate the characteristic L-shaped molecular structure. tRNAs have two regions of fundamental functional importance: the anti-codon, which is responsible for specific mRNA codon recognition, and the 3' end, to which the tRNAs corresponding amino acid is attached (by aminoacyl-tRNA synthetases). tRNAs cope with the degeneracy of the genetic code in two manners: having more than one tRNA (with a specific anti-codon) for a particular amino acid; and 'wobble' base-pairing, i.e. permitting non-standard base-pairing at the 3rd anti-codon position.
Source: Rfam by way of RNAcentral